GUCAGUAGGUGACCUGCGGANGGAUCAUUA
RNAcentral lists this ribosomal RNA (30 nucleotides) under Cortinarius clandestinus. RNAcentral describes it as "partial 18S ribosomal RNA". Lineage: Eukaryota; Fungi; Basidiomycota; Agaricomycetes; Agaricales; Cortinariaceae. The record is from RNAcentral.